Molecule: small RNA, 638 nt
Filed under: Lactuca tatarica
Lineage: Eukaryota; Viridiplantae; Streptophyta; Magnoliopsida; Asterales; Asteraceae
Description: eukaryotic LSU rRNA
Rfam family: 5.8S ribosomal RNA (bases 256-411)
Source: RNAcentral
UCGAACCCUGCAAGGCAGAACGACCUGUGAACAUGUAAAUACAACUGGGUGACAGGGAUAUGGACCUUGGUCCUGAUCUCCUAACCCUUCCUGAUGUGAAUUCGUGGUGUCUUUUUUGGGCAUCAUGGAUUCCGUUGGACCAUAACAAAACCCCGGCACGGCAUGUGCCAAGGAAAACAAAAAUGAGAAGGAUGCGUCCUGUAACGCCCCGUUAGCGGUGUGCGUGCUGGUCYUGUCCUCCUUGGAAUCACAAACGACUCUCGGCAACGGAUAUCUCGGCUCACGCAUCGAUGAAGAACGUAGCAAAAUGCGAUACUUGGUGUGAAUUGCAGAAUCCCGUGAACCAUCGAGUUUUUGAACGCAAGUUGCGCCCGAAGCCAUCCGGUUGAGGGCACGUCUGCCUGGGCGUCACGCAUCGCGUCGCCUCCCAUCAUWCCUAUCCAACGGGUUGGCAUGGUGUUGGGGGCGGAUAUUGGCCUCCCGUGCUUGUGAUUCGGUUGGCCUAAAUAGGAGUUCCCUUUGGCGGACACACGACUAGUGGUGGUUGAAUAGACCGUUGUCUUGUGUUGUGUGUCGUGAGCUGUGAGGGAAGCCCUCAUCAAAGACCCCAUUGUGUUGUCUUCGGAUGAUGCUUCGAC